RNAcentral lists this ribosomal RNA (253 nucleotides) under uncultured bacterium. RNAcentral's name for it is "partial 16S ribosomal RNA". It matches the Rfam family "Bacterial small subunit ribosomal RNA", at positions 524 to 776 of the family's 1533-position model. The record is from RNAcentral.
UACGAAGGGGGCUAGCGUUGCUCGGAAUUACUGGGCGUAAAGCGCACGUAGGCGGUCUUUUAAGUCGGGGGUGAAAUCCUGAAGCUCAACUCCAGAACUGCCUUCGAUACUGGAAGACUUGAGUCCGGGAGAGGUGAGUGGAACUGCGAGUGUAGAGGUGAAAUUCGUAGAUAUUCGCAAGAACACCAGUGGCGAAGGCGGCUCACUGGCCCGGUACUGACGCUGAGGUGCGAAAGCGUGGGGAGCAAACAGG